CGCUUCUCCCGUCAAGGAAAAAAACGGGAGAAG
RNAcentral lists this transfer RNA (33 nucleotides) under Cnemaspis similan. Its description in RNAcentral is "tRNA-Cys". The record is from RNAcentral. Lineage: Eukaryota; Metazoa; Chordata; Lepidosauria; Squamata; Gekkonidae.